Long non-coding RNA from Adelges cooleyi (spruce gall adelgid), 322 nucleotides. RefSeq lists it as uncharacterized. The record is from RefSeq and is a predicted model, not a curated record. Lineage: Eukaryota; Metazoa; Arthropoda; Insecta; Hemiptera; Adelgidae. The transcript is spliced from 3 exons.
GAGAAUCAAUAGAUUUUAAUCAUAAUAACUUGGCCGAAUUCUGUGAUAAAUACCUAACGUAUUGAGUCGUGUUUUGUUAUUUUGUUUCAAUUUGCGUUACAAUUGAGUUUUGUUUUGCCUGUUAAUCAUUUAUUAUACAUUUUUAGUAGCAGCCCUUGACAGCGGCUUACGGUUCUACGUUGUGACCCAUGUAUGGUCAGUUUAUGACGCAACUAGAAAUAAGAGUUACAAAAAAUUUGGUAGGAUCAAAUUUGGCAACCCUUGUAGAAGUGAGAAGAGUUUCUGGAAAAUCUCUAGAAAGUAACAUCAGUCGGCGUGUAUU